Non-coding RNA from Pogona vitticeps (central bearded dragon), 421 nucleotides. Lineage: Eukaryota; Metazoa; Chordata; Lepidosauria; Squamata; Agamidae. The record is from RefSeq and is a predicted model, not a curated record.
CAUAAGCCCCUUUACUUUUUCCAGCUCCUGACCAUGCUGGGCCAUCCCAACAGCCCUACUGCCAGGCAGAGAGGAUGACACAGCUGUGCACACAACACAACUUGUCCUGAACCUGCACACUAGCCUGUUUUCUGAGAACACACCCUCCAUGAAUCCAGGACAUAGCUGAUCAAGUAGACAGAGACUGGCUAGUUUCUGUGAUCCUUUAAGAGCCACCCUGAGCUCCCAUAUCUGGUUUUCAUAUUGUAAAAAAAACUCUUCUUAGAAUGGCCUCUAGGAUUCAUAUGCAACAUUGCUUCACAACACAGCUGAAGAAUGUGUGCCCCACCGUGCAAAAGUGUUCUUGGAUUACAGUGUCAUUAUCCUUGACUAUCGGCCUUGCUAGCUAAGGCUGAUGGGAGAUGCAGUCCAACAGCAUCUG